This 26-nucleotide non-coding RNA is filed under the name Rattus norvegicus (Norway rat). Lineage: Eukaryota; Metazoa; Chordata; Mammalia; Rodentia; Muridae. The record is from RNAcentral.
UUUGCCAUGAUGGAAAACUCCCCACA